Molecule: ribosomal RNA, 200 nt
Filed under: uncultured bacterium
Lineage: Bacteria
Description: partial 16S ribosomal RNA
Rfam family: Bacterial small subunit ribosomal RNA
Source: RNAcentral
GCAGUCUGCAACUCGAGUGCAUGAAGCUGGAAUCGCUAGUAAUCGCGAAUCAGAAUGUCGCGGUGAAUACGUUCCCGGGUCUUGUACACACCGCCCGUCACACCAUGGGAGUCGGGAAUGCCCGAAGCCGGUGACCCAACCUUAAGGAGGGAGCCGUCGAAGGCAGGCCUGGUAACUGGGUGAAGUCGUAACAAGGUACC